This 29-nucleotide small RNA is filed under the name Bombyx mori (domestic silkworm). RNAcentral's name for it is "ovarian small RNA-38376". Lineage: Eukaryota; Metazoa; Arthropoda; Insecta; Lepidoptera; Bombycidae. The record is from RNAcentral.
UUUGACUCCCUGUAGCGCGAUCGAUCGUU